Long non-coding RNA from Neopelma chrysocephalum (saffron-crested tyrant-manakin), 182 nucleotides. RefSeq lists it as uncharacterized. NCBI's taxonomy places the organism in Eukaryota, Metazoa, Chordata, Aves, Passeriformes, Pipridae. The transcript is spliced from 2 exons. The record is from RefSeq and is a predicted model, not a curated record.
CUGCAGUGAACUGAGUGGUGUAUAAAAGCUGUAUGAAGAUCUGCCUGCUCUGAAGAACUUGCACUCCAAGGACUUGAGAAGAUAUCAUCAAGGUUGAGAGCUUCGCAGGAAUCAAAGAGAUGCAAGAUUGUAUAUAAGUAUCAAGAAUAGGCAGAAUUAUAGUAGCAAACCCUAAAGAAAAA